Molecule: ribosomal RNA, 60 nt
Filed under: uncultured bacterium
Lineage: Bacteria
Description: partial 16S ribosomal RNA
Source: RNAcentral
GGUAGACCUAACCGCUAAGGGAGGGCGCUUACCACGGUGAGUAGUUACAUGACUGGGGUG